UGGCGGAGCACAGGCUCCGGGCGCGCUGGCUCAGCGGCCAUGGCUCACGGGCCCAGCCGCUCCGCGGCAUGUGGGAUCUUCCCAGACCGGGGCACGAACCCGUGUGCCCUGCAUCGGCAGGUGGACUCUCAACCACUGCGCCACCAGGGAAGCCCGUUUCUGGUUUUUAAGGUAAUACUCCAGCAAACCCUUAACACAUGUCAUGAAAAGACCUUAAGACAAACUCCCCCAAGAUUCAGGGACCGCCUCACUGCUUCGCUGAAAGGAGAUGAUCCAAACUGAACCCUCCACUUCAGGGGACAGGAGCUGUGUUCUCAUCUGUGUUCCCCUAACUUGGUGGAAAGUUUAUUGAAGGCCAAAACUUUCAAGUAGUCAGUAUUUGGGGCUACUCAGAGGAAAGAAAACGUGCUCUUCCAUAUAUUUACAAGGGAAGGGCACACUGGGUAUCAAGCAUGUUAUAUAUAUCUUUUAAGUCCUAUAACUAGCCCAAUAGAUGUGUAUCAUUCCCACUGUACAGAUGUGGAAACUAAGGCUAAGAGUUAAAGGCAUUUGCCCAAGGUCACAGAGCUGAUGAAUGGUUCUGGCAGAACCUUCUACUGCUCAUUACUAUCCAUUUUCUCCUCUUCUUUCUAGGCACGUCUUAAACCAUAUCUCCUGGUCCUCUUGCUAUUAGGCUGACCGCAUUACUGAAUUCUGCCAGUGAAAUACGGACAGAAGUGAUUUUGCCACUUCCAGUCCUAGUCCAUAAAAACCUUGGUACAUCAUGCCCUUUCCCAUCACUAUCUAGAUGACCCAGGGUACCAGGAAGCCAAAAAGAUGGAAGGAGCUUGCUCCCUGAGUGACUACAUGGAACAGAGCACCCUUCACCUUGUCCUCUGCUCCCUGCACUGGACUGUGACUUGGAUGAGGUAAACCUUCACUGUGUUAAUCCACUAAGAGUUUAGUUUGGGGCUUCCCUGGUGACGCAGUGGUUAAGAAUCCGGCUGCCAAUGCAGGAGACACGGGUUCAAGCCCUGGUCCGGGAAGAUCUCACAUGCCACGGAGCAACUAACGCCGUGCACCACAACUACUGAGCCUGCGCUCUAGAGCCCGCGUGCCACAACUACUGAAUCCUGCACGCCUAAAGCCCAUGCUCCACAACAAGAGAAGCCACCACAGUGAGAAGCCCGCGCACUGCAACCGAGAGUAGUCCCCGCUCACCACAACUAGAAAGAGCCCGCGCACAGCCACAAAGACACAGUGCAGCCAAAAGUAAACAAAUUAAAUAAAUAAAUUUAAAAAAAAAAAGAGUUUAGUUUGUCCUGACAGCAUGGUGAAGGCAAGAUCUGACACCAAAUCCAUCAGAUUCUAAAGACCAUCCUCUCUCAUUAAGACGUAUUGACACAAAUACAGCAGAAAUAUUAACGCCCAUCUAUAAAAUAUUAUUUAAUCCCACAGUUCACCUCUCUCCCACCAUGCCUCUCCCACAAACAAGAAUUAGAUUCCUAAAGAUUUUAGAGGAAAUUGGGUAAACAAAAACAUAAAAUCAAGCAAGCAAUCGACAAAUAUUUGUUGACUGCACACUACCUGCCAAGCAUAGACAAAUCUGCUUUUGUUGUCACCCUGAGGUCAUGAACUCUUCCCUUUGCUGUCCCAGACGGGAGGGGAGCAGAGGACAAGGUGGGAGGCAAGCCUAUGCCUUUUCUUUUCAGCAAUGAGAUUCUCCUUGGUUCUCCCAGUGUGUUAAUGAGCUACCUGGGGAGUGUCUGAUUUUAUGUUUGAGAAGAAGAAUAGACUUUCAAUCUGAAAAACAUUUUUUAUAUUUAAAAUACAUUGGGACUUCCCUGACGGUCCAGUGGUUAAGACUCCACACUUCCACUGCAGAGGGCGUGGGUUUGAUCCCUGGUCAGGGAACUAAGAUCCCACAUGCGUGAACACAAUAAAAACACUGAGCAUUAAAAAAAGGAAUGUAACUAUAUAUUCAAAGGAGAGUUUUUAAUUCUUUUAAAAAGAAAAUAAAAUACAUUAUAUUCCUGAAGUUUCACAUUUUACAGAUGGGCAGACUGAGACUCAGAGAAGCUUAGAAACAGCCCCAGGCCACAGUGACAGAAGUUAAAUUUGAACUCAGCUUCGUCUGAUUCCAAAGUCCUUGCUCAUUGCACUAUGCCAGUGUUUCUUAAACUGGGCUGCUCUUCAGAAUCACCAGGGGAAUAGUUAAAACACAGAUUCCUGGGCUUGGCGCCAGACUCCCAAAUCACUGACCUGGGGCAGGCCUCAGCAAUCUCUCUUCACACACACCCCAGGCCUGAGUGAAGACCAGCCAAGUUUGGGAUCCACUUCUCUGCACCUCGCAGUGGGAAAGCUAAGAGGGUACAUGGAUGCCAAGGGAGCAGAGGGGAAGAGAACAGAAGGGGGCCUUCUAUGGCCUUGUCCAGGGCCGGCCCUCCUCACAGCUGAGAUCCUGGCCAUGAGACCCAGGGGACAAUUAACGAAAGCAAGAAAAGGCCUUUUGACUCAGCCGUUUUCCUUACAUCUCUGCUGUGCGAAGAGGAUAUCAUGCCUGUGGAAUUCUGCUGCAUCCACAGGCAUCUCCAGACCUAUUUUUUAAAUUCGCCAGGAAUGAAGAAAGAAAAGUCCGCCAAGUUUCAGAAUUUGCUAGUCAUUUUCCUGAUUCAGUAAAACUGCCUUGAUUUUAGUGUCCAUUGCUUCCAAGCCCGUGCUCUCUGAGAGUGGCUGGGAUGAAACUGACUGCCACACUAUCUUGGAAGCCAAUUCAUGAAGAAAGGAGAAAAAACCGGCAGGAGGGUACUGUUUAGCCAUGAGGAGCUCAAUGGUUACUUGAAGAAACAUUUUAGCAUAUCUGUAUAUAUCAAUAGGCACUACAGGAGCUCUGCUGGGGAACAGUAAUAACAGCUGCCAUUAACUGAGAGCUUAGUUUGUACAGGUUCACAGUCUCUUAUCCAUAAGUUGACCCUAUAAUGUAUCAUCCAAACUGAGCAAUUGUGAAAGUGAAAGUUGGGAGAGCUAUUAAUAAUGUCACCAGGACAAGGGCAAACCAGAAUAUCCCAAGCAAACUGGGAUGUAUGAUCACUCUAUCCAAAACCCUGAGCCAAAUGGGUUUCAAAUUCAGACUUUUAGAAGAUUUUACAGGAAAUACUGUACUUGCGUGUGUAUCACACACACAUACAAAUACCCUAGAGGGAUCCAGGGCAGCACCUCAUGAUCAAACGUUAUAUUUGUGCAGCAAAUACAUGAAUAUUCACAAGAGGGAUAAACACACACUUAAGGCCAAAUUUUGCCAUCUAAUGAUUUCUGAAAAAUACUUGUUUUCAGAAAAAUUUUUUUUUCAAAUUGUGGCAAGGGUUUGUGGACCUGUACCAAGAGCUUUAAGUACUUUCCAUAGUCUGGCAGAGAUGCUAGCUGUCCCACUGUAAAGGUCCUCCCCUUCUUUGAUAGUAGGUAAGUGUGCCCAUGGCCGUCUGGAAUAAAGACAACAUUUCCCAGUGUUCCUUGAAGCUAGGUGUGGUCAUGCGACUGAGCUGUGGCCAAUGAGAUUUGUAAGUGGAAAGAUGUGAUCAGGACAACCCACAAGUACAGGUACAGAUGUACCUGUUGUUGACAGAGGGCAUCCAUUCUGAUUAAUUGAAAUCCAUGUUGUAAAUACUUUAAAAAUUACUUCUGGUGUGCAAAAACUUCUGGGAAGUCUCUUUAGAGAAAUGCGUAUGCUCUUCUCCCCCCUCCCUCCUCCUUCCUCCUGGCUGGAGUGCGGACAUGAUGGUUGGACCCUGAGCAUCCACAUCACUUUUGACCACGAAGCUGAGGGCCACAGCUUCUGAGGAACCAGAAAGCUAGUAGGAUCUUGGGUCUGGAUAACUCCCUGGAUGGCCUACCUCUGGACAUUUGAUGCCUGCAAGUGGGCUGCGGUGGCUCUGCUUCAGACGGCGGGUCUUGUUCACAUCUGCUCCACGCGUCUCUGAAUUCUGGGACUAGUGGACGCUCAGGACGUGCUCUGCGUGUCAGGGUGAAGCUCAACCACACGAGCACAUUUACAGCUUCUGCUAAUGUUAUGCUCCAUUCCUUUGGCCAAAACAAGUCACAGGACAGACCAACAUCAAGGGGAGGGGACGAGGAUAAAGUGAACACCUGCAGGUGUUCAUCAUCAUCAUCUACAGAACUGAUUAACGUGUGACCCCGUCCUACUGCCGCACAUGCACCAGGGUCUUCCAGGCAUCACCCCUAGCAUCGCGGCAAGCCAGCCACUCCUCCUGAUCACUUCCCAUAAUUCCUGCACCUGACACAUGACAAAUGAGCAAGCUCUGACUGAUGAAUGAAUGAACGAAUGAACAAACGAACUGGGAAAGAAAAAAGCUGGAAGGAAUGUCAUACGUGGAUGAUGAUGUGACAACCACCAUUGUUGAGUUUCUCCGCCAAGGUUGAGUGUGCACCGGGAGGAAAGAUAUUAAAUAUCUGUAGUGGAUGUAGGAAAGGACAUUUGACGUGCCCUAAGCUGACGAGCCCCACCCCCGUGGGCCCCCAAGAAGAGGGGACCUCGUCUGUCCCUAAGUGUAAGCAUGACUCGAACGAACCCUGAAGCCUCCCGCAAAGAGGUCACUUGGCACCAAUUAAAAUCCAGGCCAUUACCUCAGCAGACUCCGUGGCUUCAUCCUCUCCAGAAGCAGGAACAGCCGGCACAGGAUUCUCAAGGCUGACUAGACUGGCACCAGGACCCAAUUUCACUUCAACGAACAUCGCAGGAGACCGGCGCCAACUGGAGCAACUGCCCACGCACACGGUUUGCGCCGUUGUGAGCAGCUGCUACAUGAGAAUGGAAGCUUGGAUCCACUGCAGCCAUCUUGCCGCCAUGAGGGAAGACAGCGGCAGCCGUGAAGAAGGCAGAGAGACAAGGUGGAAGAGCCUGAGUCCUUGAUGAUCUCUCAGAGAGUCCACACCAAUCCUGGGAUCACCUCCCUCUGACCUGCAGGUUUGCUGUGAUUAAUCAGCCCGAUCAUUUAGUUCUUUAUUCCAAGUGUUUUGUUAUUUGCAGCUGAAACAUCCUGAUAUACUGAUUCAUUAAAUUUCACUGUUUUUCAAAAUAAUUACUCUCACAUUGUUGGAGCUAGAAGAGAAGCUGGCAGAUCAACUAGCUUUAAGUCACUUUGUGAUAGAAGAACCUGAGGCAGAUGUAGAGACAGAACCAAAAGGACAAGCUUGGCCUCCUGGGUCUUGCCCCAUAGCAGAUUCCCCAACACCCUGAGGAGACUGAGCAUCCUGGGCAGAGCAAUGGUGAGGAACCAGGGGUCAGAGCCUGGAUCCUGGCAUCUGAGAGUCAUGGGCAAAGGGGCGGAAAAGAAGGGCAGAGUGGACUAAGCUUGAGCAGGGCUGUGGCCAGAGACACCUGAAACACCAGAGCCUGAGGAAGGGCAAGACGUGUGUCCAGCUCUUUCUGUCAGGGUUCAUACACACACACACACACAUACACUCACACACACAUACACUCACAGGCACCCAUGCACACACACACUCACAGGCACCCAUGCAUACACACACACAUAGAGGCACCCAUGCAUACACAUACACAGAAAGUUUCACAGGCACCCAUACACACAUACUCA
This is a long non-coding RNA of Physeter macrocephalus (sperm whale), 5591 nucleotides long. RefSeq lists it as uncharacterized. The transcript has 5 exons. NCBI's taxonomy places the organism in Eukaryota, Metazoa, Chordata, Mammalia, Artiodactyla, Physeteridae. The record is from RefSeq and is a predicted model, not a curated record.